UACGUAGGGCGCGAGCGUUAUCCGGAAUUAUUGGGCGUAAAGAGCUCGUAGGCGGUUUGUCACGUCUGCUGUGAAAACUGGAGGCUCAACCUCCAGCCUGCAGUGGGUACGGGCAGACUAGAGUGCGGUAGGGGAGAUUGGAAUUCCUGGUGUAGCGGUGGAAUGCGCAGAUAUCGGGAGGAACACCAGUGGCGAAGGCGGUUGCCUGGAGCUUUGCUGACGCUGAGGCGCGAAAGCGUGGGGAGCGAGCCGG
This 253-nucleotide ribosomal RNA is filed under the name uncultured bacterium. RNAcentral's name for it is "partial 16S ribosomal RNA". It matches the Rfam family "Bacterial small subunit ribosomal RNA", at positions 524 to 776 of the family's 1533-position model. The record is from RNAcentral.